This 302-nucleotide long non-coding RNA is filed under the name Ananas comosus (pineapple). Its description in RNAcentral is "long non-coding RNA (ACOM_LNC043459)". Lineage: Eukaryota; Viridiplantae; Streptophyta; Magnoliopsida; Poales; Bromeliaceae. The record is from RNAcentral.
CAAGGCUCAUCACCUGUACAUUUUCAAACAAGAAGUGCACUAGCGGAAACAUACACAAACGGCUUACACGAAGGUAAGCAAUAGCCAUGAGUGAAAGAAAGGAAACUAAACAUCUACACAAGUACUAUGAUUCUCUUUUGAUCACAUACAUUGCAUUUAACCUUCAUAUUCAUGAUUCUUUACCUUUCAUUACAUCACUUGCAUCUUUUCUUUUUACAUCACAUUGCCUCAAAAUAAACUUUACAAUCUUUUCUUUCUUUGCUUUAUACAUCGACAUCUUAAAUCAUCAAAUACAAAAGAUG